CGGGGCGUAGCGCAGCCAGGUAGCGCGCCUGCUUUGGGAGCAGGAGGUCCCGGGUUCGAAUCCCGGCGCCCCGA
RNAcentral lists this transfer RNA (74 nucleotides) under Gemmatimonadota bacterium. RNAcentral describes it as "Gemmatimonadetes bacterium (beach sand metagenome) tRNA-Pro". It matches the Rfam family "tRNA". Rfam says of the family: Transfer RNA (tRNA) molecules are approximately 80 nucleotides in length. Their secondary structure includes four short double-helical elements and three loops (D, anti-codon, and T loops). Further hydrogen bonds mediate the characteristic L-shaped molecular structure. tRNAs have two regions of fundamental functional importance: the anti-codon, which is responsible for specific mRNA codon recognition, and the 3' end, to which the tRNAs corresponding amino acid is attached (by aminoacyl-tRNA synthetases). tRNAs cope with the degeneracy of the genetic code in two manners: having more than one tRNA (with a specific anti-codon) for a particular amino acid; and 'wobble' base-pairing, i.e. permitting non-standard base-pairing at the 3rd anti-codon position. Lineage: Bacteria; Pseudomonadati; Gemmatimonadota. The record is from RNAcentral.